CAGAAAGUGUAAAAAGUCCUUGAGGAAACUGCGGGCUAUUUACAGGACUGAGAGAGAAGUACUCAAUCUGAUCCUUAACUUGAAAGACGUGUCUUCUGAGUUGAUGCAUAGCUUCGCGGAUGGGAGGCCAAAUUUUGAUCUGGAAUCCGUGACUCUUAAUGCUGGUACUGUGAAGGAGUUGCUAGUGGCAUUCCAUAGAUCUCUGACUUCAGUGCUUGAGGACCCUAACGUGGUGUGUGAAUCUGCUUUUUGUUCUAUGUUUUGUUUGUUACUUAACCCUGUCAAAAUGAACAUUGAUGGUGAUGUCAAUUGUACAGAAAGCUCCACAGAGGAUUGUAAUCUGCCAUCGCCACGGAAAAGCGGUGAAGGAA
This 371-nucleotide long non-coding RNA is filed under the name Actinidia chinensis (golden kiwifruit). RNAcentral describes it as "long non-coding RNA (ACHI_LNC001199)". Lineage: Eukaryota; Viridiplantae; Streptophyta; Magnoliopsida; Ericales; Actinidiaceae. The record is from RNAcentral.